This is a long non-coding RNA of Xenia sp. Carnegie-2017, 159 nucleotides long. RefSeq lists it as uncharacterized. The record is from RefSeq and is a predicted model, not a curated record. The transcript has 3 exons. Lineage: Eukaryota; Metazoa; Cnidaria; Anthozoa; Malacalcyonacea; Xeniidae.
UUUUAAGCGUCAGAGAGACUUCCCGCUUACUUCAUGGAGCACAGAAGGAGAAGAUAGCUGUCGGUGAUGUUGUUGUGUUAAAAAAUGAUCUUUCCCCUCAAAUUUUGAGGAAAUUGGCAAGAGUUACCGAGCUCAUAGUAAUGGCAACUAUGUUGAAAU